Molecule: long non-coding RNA, 202 nt
Filed under: Mytilus galloprovincialis (Mediterranean mussel)
Lineage: Eukaryota; Metazoa; Mollusca; Bivalvia; Mytilida; Mytilidae
Source: RNAcentral
GUUUGAGAAUGCUUAAGCUUAAAAUCUUUAGAUUUUAAUACAAUGUAGGUGCCCACUAUAUACUGCUUUGGGAUGAUUUUGGCAAUCAUUGGAACUGCUAUGUUGCCAUGGAUACUACACCAAAAAUUUCCAAAAUAUGGAAAUGCUCCAAAUUUUAUAAAACUUCACAGUAACGAUGAGCAACAUUGGUAGAUGUGGAAUU